CACGCAGGUGGCUGAGAAAGUCGAUUGUGAAAGCCCUGGGCUUAACCUGGGAAUUGCAGUCGAAACUACUCGGCUAGAGUAUGGGAGAGGGUAGUGGAAUUCCCGGUGUAGCGGUGAAAUGCGUAGAUAUCGGGAGGAACAUCAGUGGCGAAGGCGGCUACCUGGCCCAAUACUGACACUCAGGUGCGACAGCGUGGGGAGCAAACG
Molecule: ribosomal RNA, 207 nt
Filed under: uncultured bacterium
Lineage: Bacteria
Description: partial 16S ribosomal RNA
Rfam family: Bacterial small subunit ribosomal RNA
Source: RNAcentral